CCAGGUGGACGUAACAUCCACGACCUCUACGCCGUCUCCAUGGUAACCAGACGCCUCUCAGGCCGGAGCGGGCCAUGGCGCUCGGGCCACUGCGCAGGCUCAGCCCUUGUAUCUUGCUACUCUGAGCGCAGGGCUUCCUUUGGUCCAGCCUUGGGUUGAGUAAAUGGAGAGGACCUGGAGCCCCGAAGAGUAGGGGCGGCACGUAGGGACUUGAAGCCUGGUCUCGGGAUAAUUUCCAAAGGCAGAACUCCAAGUCUCCGAAGUUAUGCUGCUUCCCUGGUUCUUCUCAGAGAAAGGAGACUUGGGAGAAGCUCAGCAACGACCAAAGCUGGGCACCAAAAUUAAUUCUAAGGAGGGGCACCUUGCGUUUGCAUGAGCUUUCGCAUCACUUACCUCCUCUUCAGUCCUGGGGAGCCAGAGGGACGUGAGUCAUUCCCAUUUUGCAGGAUACUAUGAUAGAAUAAGAAUUCUGCUGAUGUGGGGAAGGGAUAAGAAGAAGCUACCUGGCUUGCCUCUACUACCUUGAUUGAUCCUGUUGAGGACCAUCUUUCCCAUGUGUCCCACUUACUUGAUAUGUAUUUACUACUGAAAAUAUAUUUCUUCAAACACA
Long non-coding RNA from Monodelphis domestica (gray short-tailed opossum), 610 nucleotides. RefSeq lists it as uncharacterized. The record is from RefSeq and is a predicted model, not a curated record. Lineage: Eukaryota; Metazoa; Chordata; Mammalia; Didelphimorphia; Didelphidae.